This 492-nucleotide ribosomal RNA is filed under the name uncultured bacterium. RNAcentral describes it as "partial 16S ribosomal RNA". It matches the Rfam family "Bacterial small subunit ribosomal RNA", at positions 29 to 507 of the family's 1533-position model. The record is from RNAcentral.
AGUGAACGCUGGCGGUAGGCCUAACACAUGCAAGUCGAACGGCAGCACAGUAAGAGCUUGCUCUUACGGGUGGCGAGUGGCGGACGGGUGAGGAAUACAUCGGAAUCUACUUUUUCGUGGGGGAUAACGUAGGGAAACUUACGCUAAUACCGCAUACGACCUACGGGUGAAAGCAGGGGAUCUUCGGACCUUGCGCGAUUGAAUGAGCCGAUGUCGAAUUAGCUAGUUGGCGGGGUAAAGGCCCACCAAGGCGACGAUCCGUAGCUGGUCUGAGAGGAUGAUCAGCCACACUGGAACUGAGACACGGUCCAGACUCCUACGGGAGGCAGCAGUGGGGAAUAUUGGACAAUGGGCGCAAGCCUGAUCCAGCCAUACCGCGUGGGUGAAGAAGGCCUUCGGGUUGUAAAGCCCUUUUGUUGGGAAAGAAAAGCAGCAGGCUAAUACCCCGCUGUUCUGACGGUACCCAAAGAAUAAGCACCGGCUAACUUCGUG